Molecule: long non-coding RNA, 1456 nt
Organism: Chinchilla lanigera (long-tailed chinchilla)
Lineage: Eukaryota; Metazoa; Chordata; Mammalia; Rodentia; Chinchillidae
Exons: 2
Source: RefSeq, a predicted model, not a curated record
ACUGCUGAGUUACUUAAUUAAGCUUCUAGGCUCAAGCUGACACAAUGUAUCAACCACAAUAGGUUCUGGGAGAAAGAUGUAAUUCAUUUUAAAAUGUGUUUGUUGUAUUUGAGGUAUGUGUUCUGUGUGUGUUUGUUCCUUGUGCUUACAGCAUUCAUUACAUUUUCUUUCUGAAACAGUACAUGAUCUGCUCUUUCUUACUCUCGCUUCUCAUAGUUUGUGUGGGAGGCACCCAGUUCUAAGAGAAACCCGGGUCUGAUAGUCAAGAACACAGGUCUGGCCUAAGUCAGUCAGUGCCCUGGGUUCCUCUGCAUACAGUGACUGGCCUUGGGGUGAUUACAUGAUCAAAGAAUCUCAGUACCUUUGCUAAAAUUCUAUGACAGAGAGGAUUGCCUUUUCCCCUUUCCCAGUGAAUUCUAAUCUGAGUGACUGUAGCCCUAGCAAUGUUGAUCACUAUCUUACAACCACAAGGAAGGGGAGAACGGAGCCAAGACUGAGGAAACAGAACCAAGGAAUUUAGAGGAAGAUACCAACUCCUGGAGCUUUAGCAAAAGCUAAAGUUACCCCUGGCUUGCUCACUUACAUGAGUCAAUAAAUUCCUGCUUUUGCUUAAAGUAAUUUAAAUUGAAUAUUUCAGUUGCAACACAAAGAAUCCUCAUUGUGGACACCCAUGCACAGAUGCUAAGGUAAACACGUGAGCUGGGAAUUGUAGAUUUGAGCCUAGGCUGUAAACAUAGAAAAGGGAUGUAAAGAUAGAAAGUAAAGAUAGUACAUGUAGCGGGCUCCUUUGAAAAGUUAAUCAAGUGAUGGGGAGGAAGGUAGGGUUUAGGAGUCAGGGAAGGUAUCUUUGCAGCCAGUUCAUUUGCAUGACGUCAGUAUUCUUUUCUCCUUUGCUAAGAUUUCCCAUUGGCCUCCAGGCCCUUCUGCCUCUGCUUCUCUUUUUUUAUUUUAUUUUUAUUUUUAUUUUUUCCAGUACCGGGAAUCGAACUCACGACCUUGCGCUUGCCAGUGCAGCAGCACCAUGCCGCCUGGAUGACCGCCUCCUCCCGGCCAGUGCCUGUGGCAGGGGUGGGCAGAUGUUUAACGAGUGAAUGAUGGCAACAGGUGAGAUUGCUGCAGCAGUCUGCAGAUGAUUCCGGUUGUGUCGUUGGUCCCGAUUAUGUGUUCACCAAAGAGGCACCUUUGCUGUGUACUUGGAUGCUUCAGGUAACGGCUUCCAUUCCUCCCAUUCUCCGCCUUCCCUCGCACACAUUUUCUGACUCUCCAGCGUAUGUUUAAAAAACAAACUGUGGUUUUAUUACUAGCAUCAGAAGUGGGCUACAUGGAGUGGUGGGUGGGCUGGGCUGGGGGUCUGUGUGGGCCAGGAGGAGGUGAUAACUGAGCGCCUGGCAGGGGCAAGGCGUGAGGCUACCCCAGGGGGCUUUAGAGACGCUUCUGGGCUGCCAGGAAGGAGUCA